UUCGGCCCCGGUACAGUGGCGCACGGGUGAGUAACACGUAGAUCAUCUCCCCUCGAGUGGUGGAUAACUCUCCGAAAGGAGAGCUAAUACAGCAUGAGACCACGGCUUCGUUGAAGCUGCGGCCAAAGCAGGCCUCUACAUGUAAGCUUGCGCUUGAGAAUGAGCCUGCGGCCCAUCAGCUAGUUGGUAGGGUAAUGGCCUACCAAGGCUAAGACGGGUAGCUGGUCUGAGAGGAUGAACAGCCACACUGGAACUGAGACACGGUCCAGACUCCUACGGGAGGCAGCAGUGGGGAAUCUUGCGCAAUGGGCGAAAGCCUGACGCAGCGACGCCGCGUGAGCGAUGAAGGCCUUCGGGUUGUAAAGCUCUGUGGGGAGGAAAGAAUAAGGCUUGGCUAAUAUCCAAGCUGAUGACGGUACCUCCUUAGCAAGCACCGGCUAACUCUUGUGCCAGCAACCCGCGGUAAGACAGAGGGUGCAAACGUUGUUCGGAAUUACUGGGCGUAAAGCGCGUGUAGGCGGCCCUGCAAGUUCGGGUGUGAAAUCCCAUGGCUCAACCAUGGAAAUGCACUC
Molecule: ribosomal RNA, 572 nt
Filed under: uncultured delta proteobacterium
Lineage: Bacteria; Deltaproteobacteria
Description: bacterial SSU rRNA
Rfam family: Bacterial small subunit ribosomal RNA
Source: RNAcentral